AAAAUUUAGAAGAUUGAUUUAAAUUUAUAAAAUUACAACAAUUGUUAGAAAUGUCUUUAAAAAAAUCGUCCCUUUGAAUAUCAUAAAGAGGGCAUUCUAAUAAGAAAUGAAGCUCAUCUUCAACUUUACCAAGUGAGCAAUUAGAACAAAGACGCUGAGAUCUUUCUAUAUGCUUUUUUGAAUAUCUGUCUGUCUCAAUUUUUAAAGAGUGAG
RNAcentral lists this long non-coding RNA (213 nucleotides) under Mytilus galloprovincialis (Mediterranean mussel). The record is from RNAcentral. Lineage: Eukaryota; Metazoa; Mollusca; Bivalvia; Mytilida; Mytilidae.